Long non-coding RNA from Neopsephotus bourkii (Bourke's parrot), 2957 nucleotides. RefSeq lists it as uncharacterized. The transcript has 5 exons. The record is from RefSeq and is a predicted model, not a curated record. NCBI's taxonomy places the organism in Eukaryota, Metazoa, Chordata, Aves, Psittaciformes, Psittacidae.
UGCCUCACAAUACUGAGAAACUCACACUUAGCUGUUGUGUCUUCUAGUGCUAAUGAAGUGAUUGCCAAACACUGGAACAAGAAGCUGUUUACCCAAGGUCAGAGUCUUAGGAACAAUUUAUUUUCCUCAGUAACGUGUAUGUCUUUUUUCAGAAAUUAGCAGUCUACGAAAGAUAAUGAGCUCAGUGAAUCUUAUUAACACAAGUUACAGCUGACUGACAAGCAGUUGUCUGAAGAGGUGUGGACUAUUCAAGUCAGUCUUAGAGGAGAUGGAUUAGUGGCAGGAAAAAAUUGAGACAAUUAAAUCCAAAGAAACAAGUCAGUUCUGGAAGGCUUAUUUAUCCUGAGGUGCACCUGGCAAAUCAUUUGUUUGCAGCUCCCUGGCAGUGAGUGACCAGGAAUUCAUCAGUCCAUGCAUGUGUCUCAGGCUCCUUUUGGAGAUACCCACCUGUUGGGACGUAAUGGACUGGGAAAAACAUAAUCCAUUUGGUAGUCAAGAUUCAAUGCAUCACAGAUGUCAACUACUGCAGCUGGAGAAUUUGUUUAAGUGGGUGGACAACACGUCAUCUGUACUAUGUACAGCUCCUUUGCCAUGUUAAGGCCUAGGCAUGCACUUGUGGCUGACUUUCCAUCAAUCACAUCUCUGAUAACUGAUUAGGCACAUCUGGAUAUGGAAGGGUUUGAUGAGGAGGCGGAUGGGCAGCUAUCACAGGUGAUGGCCAACUAAUGGUCAGGGUAAGGGUCAAUGACAGGACUGAAGAAGCAAACAGAUGUGUCUCCUCUUUUCCAAACAGUGUAUGUCAUAGUAUAACAGCUGUGAAGGGAAAAGAUGACUUGUGGGACUUAAACUGCAAUCUUCAUAAACUAGGCUUACAGAAAUUUCACAGCAGACUUUAACCAGAUGAAAAUACCUUCAUAUCUGACAUAUAAAGGAAAUACCUACGUUUUUCAAAAUCUACAGUUUUCUUUCACUGUCUCUGGACUGCUAAGAAAUAUUGAAAAGCUUUCGCUGUAGCUGAAUUAUUACCCUAACUUAAUUCAGUCUAAAUUCAUUUUCUCUUAUGUCUUGCUUGUGAGACCUAGAGAAGCCCGCAGGUUCUGAAACUAUUCUCACUUUUAUUGAUCUUAAGCCUGACAGUCGGAUUCACAAAUACAAACAGCAAUGUUCCUAAAAUUUAAAUAGAUGCAAGUACAAAAGUUAGACUGCUUCCUUAAAGAGAUAGACUAAAUUACUCCAGUGGAUAAACUAGCCCUAUGUGUGCCUGAGAGAUGAUUUCAGCUCCUUCAGAGAUUUCUGCACCUUCAGGAAAUGCAGAGUUAGUUAUGCAAUUAUCAUUUAAGGAUAAAAUAUGUUUAUAAAAUAGUCUUUUACAAUAAAAUUUAAAAAGGAGAAACCUAAAACCUUUCAUUUGACUACAGAGCUGAGAAAAAGAUGGUGAGAAGAAUCUGUAUUUCCAGUGCAAAACUGGCCCAGAAGCCCAGUUACACAUAGCAUGUGCACUGCCCUGUGGGAGCUCUAUGUUACAUGCACAGUAUUUUUCUCUCACUCUUAUUCUCCAGAUAAGUAAAGGCUGAAGCAGGUUAUAAAUGCAUACCUGGCAGGAGGCCAGGACAGAGCCAUUAACUGUAUUCUGGAAAAAGAAGUGUCAUGUAAUGUCUGAUCAAGAAUUAUGCAGUUGCUGAAGAUAAGAAGAUUUUCCCCUUAAAAUUCAUGAGGAAUGACUACCGAGUCCUGGAAGCUGGGUGACCUAACCUGUCAGUCAGCAGAGAGAACCCCCAGUCUGCUGUUCUUAUUGCUGCUGCUGUGCUAUCUCAUAAGUCCUACAGCCAUUGUGCUGCAGUUCAGCUCGCACUCAUUCAAUUAGCCCGGCUCAUCCAAGCAGCCAUUUGACAUGACGUGUUCCUUUACAGGUGCACUGCUAUAAAUCAGGAGCAAGACCAUGGAGGUUGGAGGGUUAGUGUCAAUAUAUAAGCAACAUAAGCAAAAACAGGCUCAAACAAGAGUAAAAAAUCUAGCCAGCUUUUAAAAUUUAUGCUGAAUGACAGAUUUAUGGGGUAGAUAUAAACUAUUCAAGGCAGGGACUAAUUUUUUCUUCUCCAGUAUUCCACAUAUUGAUACCGGAGCCCUCAGAGUAUGUAUAAUUAUAUGUCUAUUAUAAAGAACAUUUUUAUUUUUAGACAUGAAAAACAACAUUGUCAGCAAAGCAUAAAUGUAUCUUUUGAGAAAGACGGCUCACCCACCCAAUCUUUAGUAAUGACAGAGGGGAAAAAGUUGGUUCCUAGAACUGUAUUGAACACAUACAACCAAACCUACCAUAUCCAGUAUAAUGCUGGCAUAUAAUGAUUGUGUUUUCUUUCACUCUUUACCCUUCAUGUUCAGUGUUUUAGGACUUUUAAUCUCAGAGUUUCACUGUUAUCUGUCUCUGUGUGUGGAUGAUAGAAGGACUUUCCAUAUGCUCAGAAUAACUUAAAUAAACUCUUCAGCCAUUUGAAAUGUGAGUGUUACUGUUUUAAGGAAUAAAAAAGAAGAUGUAGGGGAAAUGACAGAUGUUUUUACUCAGCAGUGUGCUCCCAUGUUUUUAAUAAAGAUUUUGGGUAUAUAAAUAGUGCUUUCAAGGCUAAAUAUUUUUUAUGUGGUAUUGAGCUAUAGCUUUGUUGGGUUUUUUUCAGAAUGAAACUCAGCUGGGGAAAAAAUUAUAUGAUGUGAUAUUAAUAUACCUGUAUAUGUCUUUAUGAUUCUGUAAAAGUAUAUGGAUCUUUAAAAUUAAAAUAAAACCAGAGUAAGAAUUAAAUAACAUUAAUAUAUUAGAAACUUGAACUGAUUGUGUAAGCAACUAUGUUUCCAAACAUCCUUGCAGACUCCAUAUGGUUCCAGCAGUCAGAUCACACCCCCCAGUUUGAGACAAAAAAGUUUUAUUCUAUGUAGUACAUAAUGUCAGCCCCACUUAGGCCCUACAU